This 29-nucleotide non-coding RNA is filed under the name Mus musculus (house mouse). The record is from RNAcentral. Lineage: Eukaryota; Metazoa; Chordata; Mammalia; Rodentia; Muridae.
UGCAAUUCAAUGAAAACUGAUAACAUGGU